Molecule: RNA transcript, 4556 nt
Organism: Paramacrobiotus metropolitanus
Lineage: Eukaryota; Metazoa; Tardigrada; Eutardigrada; Parachela; Macrobiotidae
Exons: 3
Source: RefSeq, a predicted model, not a curated record
CAUCGGUGGUACCAAUGGAGUGUCAUGGAAUGACCUUUCGAAUUUCAUGGCCGCCCAUUAUGAGUUGGGAGAAUUGAAUAUUGAGAACGAUAGAGAAUGGAUUAAGAAUGCCGUCGAAGCGUUGAUUGCAGAUGACGUGCUUCAUAUGAAUCAGGAUGGCCGAAUUGACUUCAAGCCGUAUAAACCGCCGGCGAAGGAGUCUGAGUGAAUGGGGCGAGUGUAAUGUGCAGCGAAUUUAAAACGGAGAAGAUGGCACAGAAAGGUCAAGCCACUCCUAAAAGCUCAGGAACGGCAUCGGAGAUAAACAGAUCUACGGGCUAUAACCCAAAGUGUCCGGACUGUUUACGGAAUAAUAAAAAGGUCGAUAAGAAAUUCCCCUGCUAUGCAUGCAUUCACAAGUUGGGCGACCCACAUAUCGUUUCACUCGUGGGGAUUACGGAAGCUAAACGGGGGAACAUGGACGUUUUUCGAAACCUCAUCAGCGCGAGGAACUAUGGCAGCAUCCCAGUUGAGGAGCGGAUGCUACUCGAGGAUCGCUACCGGGAAGCGAUCCAGAAUAACGAAAGCGGCUGGGAUGAGACUCUGGAGCCAUUGAAAUGCCCACAGACGGACGCAUACCGGAAGAAGUUUGAGGAAGAACAAGAGAAGAUGCGGCGGCAACAGCUGGAGGACGAACUCCGGGCGAAGAUCAAUGCGGCGAAUCAAAAGGCGAGCGAACAGGCCGCACGAGAGACGCAGCCCAAUCCGUCGAGUUCGACUGUACCGACAGCCAGCCUCAAUGACGACGAAGCACAGCUGAUACGCCAGUCGCUCAUUAUUCAAAUCGACACGCUGACGAGCGAUCCGGCGGCCAUGCAACAAGACCUAUUUGAUGCGCUGUUACGGGAAAAGUUAAGACUGCAAAAGGGUUUUGCUCCGGCACCAUACAUAAAGAAAGCAGUCGAAGAACGUAUGGAGGAGCUGCGUAAAUCCCGCCAGACCGAGAGCAAUGUUUUACAGGCGCUCAGAGGCUUUCGACGAGACGAUGUGUUUACACGACCCCGUUCGCCUCUGCAGAGAGAAAGGUCACGCGGACAUUCACGGGAACAUGAGCGGACUUCUGAAAGACGAAGUGAAAGGUCACGUGAACAUUCCCGGGAAAGGACACGGGAUUACCGAAGCGAAAGGUCACGCGAGCGUUCUCGCGACAGAGACUACCGUGGCGGAAGAGGAUGGGUACGCCAUGGAAAUGAGAUAACGGAGACAAGCAUCCAACGAAAAAUCGACACGGCAAAGAUUCUAGCAGCGACUAGAGGACGUGAAGAGCAACGGCGUGCGGAGUCAUACCGUACAGAGCCUGAAAAGAAAGGUCAUCAGGUGCCGUUGGAAGUUGGAUUCCGUAAUCGCAAUGUUAGAAUGUCUACGCCGGAAAGGUCAUGGGAUAAAAGACGCGAACACACGCGAAAUCGAACGCCAGACCCACAGGAUAAACGCUGGCAGGAAAGAGCCAGGUAUUAUGCGGGUUUUGAAUCUGGCGCAAGUAAAAGGUCAUCCAGCGCAGAAAGGGAAGACUCACCCCCAAAGUAUCAAAGAAUGGAGUCAACCGUCCAUGUGGUGGACCCAAUUAUUAGCACCGCUCAAGAUGAUGACCCGAUGGAAGGACCCAGUUCAAUUGCAGAAGCGUCCCAAGCAAAUGUGACACACCGACGAAACGUUAUUCUGGACAGCGACCUUCAACCGCCUACACCGGCGAGUAAUGAACCGCCGCAGGCAGAAUCAGGAGAACGAAGCGCACAAGAAAGUCAGCGCGAACCGGAUGAACGUCGCGAAGUCGAUCGGCGAACGACUUCUCGAUUCAAUAACCGACACCCCGAAACAAUCGAUAUGGUAUACGAUAUGCGCGACACCGACGAACAAAAGAUAGAAAUCUGCCGAUACAUAGGGAUUGAAGACGAUUCGGCGGAUGCGAAUAAGAUCCAUACAAUUCUGAACCAGCUGCGUCAAUUUUUAUUCGACUCGGGCUAUGCGAAAGAAAUUAAAGAGGGAGUGGAACAAGGAAGUUUCCGUCAAUUAUACAUUCCCCGCGACUCAGCAAGGGAUUGUUACCUCCCUAUCCGACGAAACGGAUUACAUAGCCUGUUGGAUCUGAAUUUGUUGGACGUGCCACUGGAUACGACUGACCCAAUCGGGAUGACACAAUUCUGUUACAGAGAUUAUCCCGAACGACAAGAAUAUGUCGCUCAGUUUGUAUUACGACACGUGAAUCCAGCCUUCAAGUUGCUUGCAGCAAGAGCAUCGAUCGGGUUACAAGUGGAUCCUAAAGAUCAUGCCGCAAGAAGGAUGGGGCAAAAGGUUUUCGCUGCAAGAUUGGCACAUUAUAAGACCCAUAACCAAUUGGUGUCCAAUACCAUGAAGGACGACAUCCCACUACUCUUCCGACCUCACGUGGCGAGAUUGGGCGAACCCAUGGAACAUGUUGGAAUAGCCCAUACGGCAAGAAAGGCGUUGAAAAAGUGCAAGAUACGUAUGGAAAAGGGCAAUCUUACACAACGCCAUGCCUCCCAGGUAGAAGAGAGGGUUAAUAAGAUCAAAGACACCAUGGGAAGCGACUACGUCGACCCCUUCGACGGAGUUGAAAUGUAUAUCGACGAAUUCCUUGUGAAGAAAAGCGAUCGGCGCCCAGAACGCGCCCCUAACCAGCUUGGACGACGUGGUCUACGGAACCAGCAGCUCCGGGAAAAUCUCGCCGAUGUACAGCGUCGACUAGCGGAUGACCCCGACAAUCGAAGACUGCGACUGGAAGAAAAUGGCGCACGCCAUCGGGUAGAGGCGGUUAAACGCAGUCGCCAAGGGAAAGGUCGCGGUCAGCGAGAAGUUGAUCCGGAAAAGGUCAUGGCAGUUGAUUCCACGGAACCAGUUGACCGAACGUCUGACCGUAACCAACCAGAAAGCUCUAAGAAGCGCCCGCCAAGAGAUGGCGAGGACGAUUCAAAUGAAAUGGAAUAGUGUUGAUCGUCAGGAUCACACUAUUAAAAGGGCGUCUACGGCAAUUGUCGCAUUUAUAGCACAGAAUCAGAAAGGAUAAAGAAAUCAUGUGGAGCAUCGAUUGGGGUUGAAAUUGAUUCGGUCUAUAAAGCCGGCCCCAAAGGAGUUGCUACGGCAGUUAGCCGGUACUCCUCCGUAAGCGAUUCAGUGUUAUAAAUUGGCAAGAGAAACUACGGUAAUCAAGCCGGAUCUCUUGAAUACGAAAGGGGGCCACAAGCGGCGAAAAAGAGAAAGACAACAGGUGGAAAUUUUGAUGGGGUAAACUUGAUGCGGCAGUCAGCCGGCCUCAUUAGAGUUGCUACGGCAAACUGUGCCGGCAAUCUCUCUAAGCGAAUCAGUGUUAUAAGUCAACGAGAGAAAUAGCGGUAAUCAAGCCGGAUCUCUCGUACCGAAGUUGGGCCACAAGCGGCGAACAAGAGUCAAAGAUUUAAUGUGGAAGCAUCGUGGGGUAAAUUUAAUGCGGUAGUUAGCCGGCCCCAUCGGAGAUGUUACGGUAAACUCUGCCGGCACUCUGGCCGCUCGAGGCAUAUUGGAGUUGGAUGUGCGACGGAAAGGUCAACUUAAAAGUUUUACCAGGGAGGCAAGCGAAGAAAUGCUUGAAAGUCGGCAAAAAUCGGCUAAGUUCCUCCAUGACCUUUAAUCGAAGUUUGAAGUGAAGUUGGAUGACCUUUGGGAUUAUUACCGCCCAACAGAGUCAUCGUAUUGGAAUUUAAGCCGUAUGACCUUUUGGGACCAUUAACCCAAACCGAGUCGCACAUCACAACGGAUCAUCUCAACAAAGGUUGACCUUUACCAGGGAGGAAGCGAACUACGCUUGUCUAUACGACGUCCCUCCAUGACCUUUAAUGGAUCUCAUUUGAAAGUCGUACAAAUGAUACGCACCGUAUUCCAAAGAUUGAAGCAGUAUUCCUAAGUCGUACUUGAUACGCACCCGAUUCUCAAGCUGAUUGUGAUGAAAGUCGCAUUACACAUGCGCGGGAUUGCUCAACAGAGCGGAAUGGGCCAAAGUGCGGAAAACGGUGGACAGGACCUGUGACCUUUACGAGUCAGAAAUGGAGGAUCCUAGUCUACAUUUGAUUAAUACUUUUGUUGAUCUUAUAACUGUUGAUCUGUUUUUGUAUUAAAAUUGAUAUGGAAUAGUAUUUUGAUACAGAUCUCUUUAUUUUCACAUAGUGCAUUUGGAAUUGAUGUGAUAAAUGGAAUAAGAGAAUUUGAUGUUUUUGAGCACGCACAGACACCGGCAACCGUCUUUUCGUGGAUUCGGGAGUGUGUCCAGCCUCAACGGAGCUCGGCAUCCCCCCAGAGGCAUGUGAGACGAGGCUCACUAGCGUUCACGCCCGUGGCGCUAGGCGCUACGCCUUCGGAUUACGGUCUGUGACGUGUCUCGCUCUGAUUGGCUAGCUUGAGUUGUGUUAGUGGGCGCGGCUUAGCACGUGCUGCACAGUGUUACACACUGUUGAAUUGGUUCUACGAUUUACGAUCGAGCUGUGCCGAUCACUUGUUGAUUUUCUGGUCUCCAGACUUUUCAAUAU